GGCGCGUGCUUAACACAUGCAAGUCGAGCGGUAGGGCCUUCGGGUACACGAGCGGCGAACGGUGAGUAACACGUGGGUGAUUCUCGCCCUGCACUCUGGAAACUUAACCCCCGGGAAACCGGAGCUAAUACCGGAUAUGACAUCAGGGCCGCAUGGUCAUGGUGUGGAAAGUUUUUCGGUCUGGGAUGGACUCGCGGCCUAUCAGCUUGUUGGUGAGGUAAUGGCUCACCAAGGCGACGAUCGGUAGCUGGUUUGAGAGGAUGACCAGUCACACUGGGACUGAGAUACGGCCCAGACUCCUACGGGAGGCAGCAGUAAGGAAUAUUGCGCAAUGGAGGCAACUCUGACGCAGCCAUGCCGCGUGCAGGAAGAAGGCGCUACGCGUUGUAAACUGCUUUUAUCCGGGAAGAAACCCCAGGACGUGUCCUGGGUUGACGGUACCGGAGGAAUAAGCACCGGCUAACUCCGUG
Molecule: ribosomal RNA, 470 nt
Filed under: uncultured bacterium
Lineage: Bacteria
Description: bacterial SSU rRNA
Rfam family: Bacterial small subunit ribosomal RNA
Source: RNAcentral